This 183-nucleotide non-coding RNA is filed under the name uncultured Plesiomonas sp. Its description in RNAcentral is "FMN riboswitch (RFN element)". It matches the Rfam family "FMN riboswitch aptamer (RFN element)". Rfam says of the family: The RFN element is a highly conserved domain that is found frequently in the 5'-untranslated regions of prokaryotic mRNAs that encode for flavin mononucleotide (FMN) biosynthesis and transport proteins. This element is a metabolite-dependent riboswitch that directly binds FMN in the absence of proteins. The record is from RNAcentral. Lineage: Bacteria; Pseudomonadati; Pseudomonadota; Gammaproteobacteria; Enterobacterales; Enterobacteriaceae.
AUUCUCAGGGCGGGGUGUAAGUCCCCACCGGCGGUAUCUGUAGAUAGCAUCAGCUAGAUUGCAGCAGCCCGCGAGCGCUUGCCACGGUAGUGAUUGUGUGUAACCACAUGAUUAUACUGCGGCAAGGUCAGCAGAUCCGGUGAGAUGCCGGGGCCGACGGUUAUAGUCCGGAUAGAAGAGAGU